GGCAACUGCGCAUGUGUAUUUGAAUGGCGACGUUCAGACGGUGCUACUUAAGUCGCCGCGACUGAUGAACUGACGCGAUUAGUCAACUGGCAGACUAGACAUGCCGGUCUCCACGCCACUUUGGUUGAUCUAGUUGCUAGGUAAUUUUUAUUUCGUGAAAUAGUAAAAUAGUAAAAUAGUAUAACAUGGUUAAGAAUUUUAAUAUAAAAUUUGUGCAACUAAUAGAAAAGCAUCCCAAGCUAUAUAAUUAUACGUUAAAAAUCUCUCCAGAAGAAAUUUAACGGAAAAAGCUUGGAGUGAAGUAGCCAUAGAAGUUAAGCUCACAGUAAACGAGUGUAAAGAAAAAUGGAAGAACCUCCGUUCCGUAUUUGUCCGUCAUAUGAAACCCCCUGCAAAAGGUUCCAGUUUUAAAAAUAAAAAACCUUAUUAUUUGACAGAAUUCAUGCAAUUUGUGCUUCCAUUCAUAAGAGCAUGGGUACACCAGUUGGAAAUUUAUCUGAUUUCCCUCAACAAAGUCCAACUGAGCUAGCACAAGAUUCUGCAGAUCAGACACAAAACGAAAUAGAUAAUGACGAAGAAUAUGAAGAUUUUUAACUAUCAUACGUAGAUAAUGAUCUGUUAUCACCCAACUGUCCUACCUAACUACCUUCAUGUCCAAUACAAGUACAACAAGACAAUGUUUCUAAUGAAAAAUCGUUAAGUGAUACAUGUAAAAUACCUUUAACUUCAAGGAAAGGAAAAUUUCAGAAGAGAGGAAAUACUGAUGUGGACAAAUCCUUUAUGGAGUACUUAAAUAUGAAAAAAAAAAUGAUCACCACCUUCUUUUUGAACGAAUAUUUUUGUAGGAGCGAAGACUAGCGAACGUGAACGAGCGAACAAUGUAAACGGUUGUGGCCGA
Aphis gossypii (cotton aphid) is the source of this 898-nucleotide long non-coding RNA. RefSeq lists it as uncharacterized. The transcript has 3 exons. The record is from RefSeq and is a predicted model, not a curated record. Lineage: Eukaryota; Metazoa; Arthropoda; Insecta; Hemiptera; Aphididae.